UAGGGAAUCUUCCGCAAUGGACGCAAGUCUGACGGAGCAACGCCGCGUGAGUGAAGAAGGAUUUCGGUUCGUAAAACUCUGUUGUUAGAGAAGAACAGCGCAUAGAGUAACUGUUAUGCGUGUGACGGUAUCUAACCAGAAAGCCACGGCUAACUACGUGCCAGCAGCCGCGGUAAUACGUAGGUGGCAAGCGUUGUCCGGAUUUAUUGGGCGUAAAGCGAGCGCAGGCGGUCAAUUAAGUCUGAUGUGAAAGCCCCCGGCUCAACCGGGGAGGUGCAUUGGAAACUGGUUGACUUGAGUGCAGAAGAGGAGAGUGGAAUUCCGUGUGUAGCGGUGAAAUGCGUAGAUAUAUGGAGGAACACCAGUGGCGAAGGCGACUCUCUGGUCUGUAACUGACGCUGAGGCUCGAAAGCGUGGGUAGCAAACAGG
RNAcentral lists this ribosomal RNA (429 nucleotides) under Bacteroidota bacterium. Its description in RNAcentral is "Bacteroidetes bacterium partial 16S ribosomal RNA". It matches the Rfam family "Bacterial small subunit ribosomal RNA", at positions 355 to 776 of the family's 1533-position model. Lineage: Bacteria; Pseudomonadati; Bacteroidota. The record is from RNAcentral.